Molecule: ribosomal RNA, 253 nt
Filed under: uncultured bacterium
Lineage: Bacteria
Description: partial 16S ribosomal RNA
Rfam family: Bacterial small subunit ribosomal RNA
Source: RNAcentral
UACAGGGGGGGCAAGCGUUGUUCGGAAUUACUGGGCGUAAAGGGUCUGUAGGUGGCCAACUAAGUCAGACGUGAAAUCCCUCAGCUUAACUGGGGAACUGCGUCUGAUACUGGAUGGCUUGAGUGUGGGAGAGGAAUGCGGAAUUCCAGGUGUAGCGGUGAAAUGCGUAGAUAUCGGGAGGAACACCUGUGGCGAAAGCGGCUCACUGGACCAUAACUGACGCUGAUGCACGAAAGCUGGGGGAGCAAACAGG